Molecule: ribosomal RNA, 253 nt
Filed under: uncultured bacterium
Lineage: Bacteria
Description: partial 16S ribosomal RNA
Rfam family: Bacterial small subunit ribosomal RNA
Source: RNAcentral
UACGUAGGGUGCGAGCGUUAAUCGGAAUUACUGGGCGUAAAGCGCGCGCAGGCGGUUUUGUAAGCCAGAUGUGAAAUCCCCGGGCUUAACCUGGGAAUGGCAUUUGGGACUGCAAGGCUCGAGUGCGGCAGAGGAGACUGGAAUUCCUGGUGUAGCAGUGAAAUGCGUAGAUAUCAGGAGGAACACCGAUGGCGAAGGCAGGUCUCUGGGCUGACACUGACGCUCAUGCACGAAAGCGUGGGGAGCAAGCAGG